Long non-coding RNA from Dendronephthya gigantea, 524 nucleotides. RefSeq lists it as uncharacterized. Lineage: Eukaryota; Metazoa; Cnidaria; Anthozoa; Malacalcyonacea; Nephtheidae. The record is from RefSeq and is a predicted model, not a curated record. The transcript is spliced from 4 exons.
AGCGUGUUUAUUUCCCUUAAAAUACCGGCCGUUUAUAUGCGGUCGUUUCUUGAAAUUAUUGUCUUAUUUCAUCGUUAUAAUGCUUUACAAUAUUCAUUGUUUGAUUUGUGUAACUUAUUCUUGAUUUAUCUUCAAUUUUAGCUUCGUUAAUUCGACGAGAACGCGUUCAUUCAACGCCGACUUUAAAGUCACACCUUGGAUGUAAAAUUCGACAAUCUCGAUAGAGUGGUCAUGAGGCGAUGAGAGCAUUCAAAGAUGCGCUGAGUGGAUGUCUAUUGUAGAACGAGGAGCUACGAGUUGUGAAAUAACCUGAAUUUCCACAAGAUUUGGAAAAGAACUAUAACCAUGCACGGUGACGUUUCGCGUUGAAAGGCGUCAUCAGAGAGCAUUUAACGUCAACAAAAUGCCGACAAAUGCUUGUGAAGGUCACAAGAUUUGUUCUGCUAAACCUCGAACAAUAAAUUCACCGAACCCUAAAGACGACAGAAGUGAAGAGGGACGGAUUAAAGAACAACCAUGACGUA